RNAcentral lists this long non-coding RNA (221 nucleotides) under Mytilus galloprovincialis (Mediterranean mussel). Lineage: Eukaryota; Metazoa; Mollusca; Bivalvia; Mytilida; Mytilidae. The record is from RNAcentral.
CUGUAUUUAAAUCAAAUUGGUUCUCUUCUUCUUCUUCUUUUGGUAUACAAUAGUCUAUCGAAUUCGUUGAUUACAUACUGUUGGCAUACGUGGACUAGUCUAUUUACAAAACUUUUACCCCAAUUUACACAAAAUGUAUGUUUCUUUCUUAUGUUCAAUGUAUACAUGUAUAUAAUUUAAAUUGCGCUAUAGUUCCGUAACUUUCUAUCCAGGCGUAUAAA